This 433-nucleotide ribosomal RNA is filed under the name uncultured bacterium. RNAcentral describes it as "partial 16S ribosomal RNA". It matches the Rfam family "Bacterial small subunit ribosomal RNA", at positions 29 to 507 of the family's 1533-position model. The record is from RNAcentral.
AACGAACGCUGGCGGCAUGCCUAACACAUGCAAGUCGAACGAGACCUUCGGGUCUAGUGGCGCACGGGUGCGUAACGCGUGGGAACCUGCCCUUAGGUUCGGAAUAACUCCCCGAAAGGGGUGCUAAUACCGGAUAAUGUCUUCGGACCAAAGAUUUAUCGCCUUUGGAUGGGCCCGCGUUGGAUUAGCUAGUUGGUAGGGUAAAAGCCUACCAAGGCGACGAUCCAUAGCUGGUCUGAGAGGAUGAUCAGCCACACUGGGACUGAGACACGGCCCAGACUCCUACGGGAGGCAGCAGUGGGGAAUAUUGGACAAUGGGCGAGAGCCUGAUCCAGCAAUGCCGCGUGAGUGAUGAAGGCCUUAGGGUUGUAAAGCUCUUUUACCCGGGAUGAUAAUGACAGUACCGGGAGAAUAAGCACCGGCUAACUCCGUG